GACGAACGCUGGCGGCGUGCUUAAUACAUGCAAGUCGAACGGAAAGGCGAUGCUUUUGUGGGGUGGUCGAGUGGGGAAGGGGGGAGUAAAACGUGAGUAACAUGCCCUUGACUUUGGGGUAAAUUCAGGGAAAUGGGGCUAAAAUAGGAGAGGAGCUAUUGCAGCGUGGUGGGGGUUGGAAAGGUUCGGCGGUUGGGGAUGGACUCGCGGCUUAUGAGCUUGUUGGUGAGGUAGUGGCUUACAAAGGCUUUGACGGGUAGGCGGCCUGGGAGGGUGACCGGCCACAUUGCGCCUGCGAUACGCCCCAGACUCCUACGUGCGGCAGCAGUGGAGAGCCUUGCACAAUGAGCGCACGCCUGUUGCAGCAACCCCGCGAUCGGGAUGCCCGCCUUCGGGUUGUAAACCGCUUUCGCCUGUGCCGAAGCGUGAGUGACGGUAAUGGGUAAAGAAGCACCGGCUAACUACGUG
Molecule: ribosomal RNA, 468 nt
Filed under: uncultured bacterium
Lineage: Bacteria
Description: partial 16S ribosomal RNA
Rfam family: Bacterial small subunit ribosomal RNA
Source: RNAcentral